UAUAUUUGCACCGCAAAAAUUGCGUACAUAAAAAUCAUUUAAAAACAAUAUUGGCAUG
RNAcentral lists this non-coding RNA (58 nucleotides) under unclassified sequences. RNAcentral's name for it is "S15-Flavobacteria ribosomal protein leader". It matches the Rfam family "S15-Flavobacteria ribosomal protein leader". The record is from RNAcentral.